This 497-nucleotide ribosomal RNA is filed under the name uncultured bacterium. RNAcentral describes it as "partial 16S ribosomal RNA". It matches the Rfam family "Bacterial small subunit ribosomal RNA", at positions 28 to 507 of the family's 1533-position model. The record is from RNAcentral.
GAUGAACGCUGGCGGCGUGCCUAAUACAUGCAAGUCGAGCGAACAGACGAGGAGCUUGCUCCUCUGACGUUAGCGGCGGACGGGUGAGUAACACGUGGAUAACCUACCUAUAAGACUGGGAUAACUUCGGGAAACCGGAGCUAAUACCGGAUAAUAUAUUGAACCGCAUGGUUCAAUAGUGAAAGACGGUUUUGCUGUCACUGAUAGAUGGAUCCGCGCCGCAUUAGCUAGUUGGUAAGGUAACGGCUUACCAAGGCAACGAUGCAUAGCCGACCUGAGAGGGUGAUCGGCCACACUGGAACUGAGACACGGUCCAGACUCCUACGGGAGGCAGCAGUAGGGACUCUUCCGCAAUGGGCGAAAGCCUGACGGAGCAACGCCGCGUGAGUGAUGAAGGUCUUCGGAUCGUAAAACUCUGUUAUUAGGGAAGAACAAAUGUGUAAGUAACUGUGCACGUCUUGACGGUACCUAAUCAGAAAGCCACGGCUAACUACGUG